UACGUAGGGUGCAAGCGUUAAUCGGAAUUACUGGGCGUAAAGCGUGCGCAGGCGGUUAUAUUAGUCAGAUUUGAAAUCCCCGGGCUCAACCUGGGGACUGCAUUUUAGACUGUAUAGCUAGAGUACGGUAGGGGGGGAUGGAAUUCCGCGUGUAGCAGUGAAAUGCGUAGAUAUGCGGAGGAACACCGAUGGCGAAGGCAAUCCCCUGGACCUGUACUGACGCUCAUGCACGAAAGCGUGGGGAGCAAACAGGAUUAGAUACCCUGGUAGUCCACGCCCUAAACGAUGUCAACUGGUUGUUGGGUCUUAACUGACUCAGGAACGAAGCUAACGCGUGAAGUUGACCGCCUGGGGAGUACGGCCGCAAGGUUG
This 372-nucleotide ribosomal RNA is filed under the name uncultured prokaryote. RNAcentral describes it as "bacterial SSU rRNA". It matches the Rfam family "Bacterial small subunit ribosomal RNA", at positions 524 to 896 of the family's 1533-position model. The record is from RNAcentral.